CUCCGUGCCAGCAGCCGCGGUAAUACGGAGGGUGCGAGCGUUAAUCGGAAUUACUGGGCGUAAAGCGCAUGCAGGUGGUUUGUUUAAGUUCAGAUGUGAAAGCCCGGGGCGUCAACCUCGGAAUAGCAUUUGAAACUGGCAGACUAGAGUACUGUAGAGGGGGGUAGGAAGUUUCAGGUGUAGCGGUGAAAUGCGUAGAGAUCUGAAGGAAUACCGGUGGCGAAGGCGGCCCCCUCGGACAGAUACUGACACUCAGAUGCGAAAGCGUGGGGAGCAAACAGGAUUAGAUACCCCUGGUAG
RNAcentral lists this ribosomal RNA (300 nucleotides) under uncultured bacterium. RNAcentral's name for it is "bacterial SSU rRNA". It matches the Rfam family "Bacterial small subunit ribosomal RNA", at positions 501 to 793 of the family's 1533-position model. The record is from RNAcentral.